GGGGGCGACUUGGCUUCGACGGGUUUGAUGAAGGAAUUGCAGCGUGUCCAGGUCCAGAGUCCUGGUAAAACCAUCUGGAACGAUUCAACUGCCAAUACUGAACUGGCAAUGGCUGCGUAAGCUGAGCUAACGCUCGCUUAUGCUCCUUCGGUGGCUGGAGCCCGCCCGGGGCGCUGCCCACCGAAUCGCAAAUCCGGGCUAGCUGGGAGUGUCGCUCCGACGCCUCCGGCGAGAUUUACAGGAGAUAGGCUUCGGAGGGGUCGGCUCGAUACCUCUCCAAAGUGACGGUAAAAAGUCGGGCCUACACACGUAGACGCAGUUCUGGAAGCUCACUCGGACCAGGGUUCGAUUCCCUGCGCCUCCAUUU
This 367-nucleotide transfer-messenger RNA is filed under the name Gemmatimonadales bacterium. It matches the Rfam family "transfer-messenger RNA". Rfam says of the family: Bacterial tmRNA, also known as 10Sa RNA or SsrA, is named for its dual tRNA and mRNA-like properties. Its role is to liberate the mRNA from a stalled ribosome. To accomplish this part of the tmRNA is used as a reading frame that ends in a translation stop signal. Lineage: Bacteria; Pseudomonadati; Gemmatimonadota; Gemmatimonadia; Gemmatimonadales. The record is from RNAcentral.